This is a long non-coding RNA of Vigna angularis (adzuki bean), 2208 nucleotides long. RefSeq lists it as uncharacterized. The record is from RefSeq and is a predicted model, not a curated record. The transcript has 3 exons. Lineage: Eukaryota; Viridiplantae; Streptophyta; Magnoliopsida; Fabales; Fabaceae.
UUGAGCGCAGAUAUCCAUAAAAAAACAUACCUCAUUUAGGGUUUCUGCCACCAUCUACCUUCCUCUUCACCCCCUCACCUUCGAUUCCUCUUCCUCCUGCUUUUUUCCAUCUUUUUCUUCUUCUCAUUUCUCAUCCAAACCCUUUCAAUUCACACACACAUCUCCUUCUAAAUUUUCUAUAUCACUUCCAAUUCUAUAUUCUACAUCUUCGAUUAAUCCUUCUUCUUCUCACUGCUCUUGCACUUCUCAUCAUUAGGGUUUCCUGUACUUGAUUGCUGCUCUAUGCCUACCACCUCUUUUCUUAGCUCUUCGAUUCAAUAUGGUAUAUAUACAUGUACCCUUUUAUAUAUGUUGGUACAAACUUUCGUCAAAUCUUUUUAAAACCAACAUAAUUCUCAGAUUUUUUAUACUUGCAUGGACAUACAUAUAUAUACAUACAUGUAUACAUAUUUUGUACUCCUUGUUGCCAGUUCAGCUUUUUACCUUUUCCUUUUCCUAAGUUUUCUUUUAUUUCAAACUGGCCUUGUUUUGGGCCUACUGAAAUGCCUUUUCCAGUUACUUCUUCUGUUAGUUUUGUGUUAAUUAGUAAGCAGUUAAUCACUAACAUAACAGGCUUGCAAUUACAUUAGGUCAAUUUGGGUUCGGAUCAGCACAAAGGGUUUUCUAACUUGAGCAAACUGUAUAUUUUGUCAUCUGAUCUAUUAUUCAUUGAUUCAUAUAUCAGAAAAUCUGAACAUGUAUGCUUUAAAGUGAUCUGUUUAUACAAUUGCCCAUUUUAUCAUUCAUCUAACCCUUUAUAACCUCACUAUAUAUGUAUAUACAUACACAUAUAGGUUUGUUAAUUUCCUGAUAGGAAAGCACAUAGUACAUAGUGUGACAAUGUGUUUUUGUGAUACAAGAGGCAAUUGAUUAGCCUGGUUUUUGAGUAGCUAGAUUGUUUUAUUGGUUUGUGAAUUAUCUGUGUGGCAGCAAGAAUAUGAGGAAGGUGCAGUGUAGAUGUUGCUUGAAAGGCUGGGAAGGAAAUAAAAGGUGUAUGCAUUGAUGUAGAUGUGAAUGAGAGUACAGUAGCGGGAGAGAAAGAGAGUGAAGGAGCUUCCUUCAGCCCACGUAUGGGUAUGGGGGACUAAAGGGUUGCUCAAGUAUCUGCUGACUCAUUCAUACACACACAGUAGGGGUUUAUAUGAAACCAUUUUCUACUGUAAUUGUGUGAAUGAAGCAGGAGAUAUUUUGCAUCCCUCUUGCUCUGUGCUUGGACUGAAGGGGAGCUCCUUCUUUCUGUUGUCUCCAUCAUUGAUAUUAAUAUAUAUAUAUAUAUAUACAUGUAUGUAUAAACAUAUAACAUUAUAAUAUAUCUGUCUCCAACAACACCAAUUUCUUAGUAUUCAUCCAGUGGCACAAAAAGUUGCAGCCACAACUGUAGCUGAUGUAACAUAUCGUCUUCUAGGUCUUUGUAAGUAUUAACUCUUCCUCACUAGGCUGCCCAAGAUUCAGCCAACAUCUGCAACAGUGGCAUAUGAGUUUUAUAGCUGGAUGCCCCACCUAGUAGUACUUUUUCACUUCCCAGCAAAAUCAUCAUAUUACCACUUUCACAACUCCUCAUCAACAUUACAUUACAUGGAAGAGAAUCAGCACUGUACAUGCUACUUUCCUUUCCAGUUCUUCGACAUUACAACAUCGGCUUCUCUCUCAUUUCCCCUUGCUUUCCUUCAAUUCUUUUCUUGGUGGCUGAAAAAGCAAAGUUUAGGUGAUGAUGGGUCCAACAGUUCACAUGUUUGUAUUCGUUCCAAACAUUGCCUUCUUGAAGUUUCCUAAGAGUGGGACCGAGUGAAGUAUAAUAUUAAUUUAUAGAGAGAUAUGUGGAGAUUUAUACAAAUUCAGCAGACAGGAUAUUGAAGAAGAUUAUGAUGUCAGACAAAAGUAGUGACUGUAUAAAAUGAACUCUGAUCUUUUGGUUAUCCCUAUGACCUACUGCUACGUACAUGUAUUUUUGUGUAAAAGAAAAGAGAUAAACUUGUCAUAUCUUCUGCUACAUAAACUCAUCCAUUGGGAACCAUUUUUAUUGAUUUUUUUUCCGUUAUUUUUCUGUUAAAAAUAAUAUGUAAAGGCUAUUAUUUUUGUCAGCAUGUAAUUAAUUUUGAAGAUGUAAUUAAAGUUAAACAGAAAAUCUAAAUUCGAAAUAAGACAUUGGGCUUUUUUUGUCAGCAUGAA